Molecule: ribosomal RNA, 475 nt
Filed under: uncultured bacterium
Lineage: Bacteria
Description: bacterial SSU rRNA
Rfam family: Bacterial small subunit ribosomal RNA
Source: RNAcentral
AGCCAGCACAUGGGAUGAGAACGGCCAGCUCUACGGGUUGAGCAUGGGGCUAUUGGAAAGGGCGCAGCCCGUCAGCAAGCCGCUGUGUGAAGAUGCUGAGGUUCUAAAGCAUUUUCAUAAAGACAAAAGCCUAGGAUAAUACCCCUGGGUUUUUAAUUAAACUAUAAAAAAAACACCGGCUAAAUUCCGUGCCAGCAGCCGCGGUAAUAACGGAAGGUUGCAAGCGUUAAUUCGGAAUUAACUGGGCGUAAAGCGCACGUAAGGCGGCUUUGUUAAAGUCGGUAUGUGAAAAGCCCCGGGCUUCAACCUGGGAACUUGCAUUUCGAUUACUGGCAGGCUAGAGUAUAGAAAUGGCAAGUGGAAUCCCGGGUGUAGCGGUGAAAUGCGUAGAUAUCCGGAGGAACAUCAGUGGCGAAAGCGACUCGCUGGUCUAAUACUGACGCUGAGGUGCGAAAGCGUGGGGAGCAAACGGGAU